CAUUUUCUUAAUUUUGUAUAUUCAUUUUCAAUACAAUACUUAAAAGUAUUUUUGUGUAUUAUAAAUUAUUUCAUUUAUAUUACAAAUAAAAAUCUGUCUUUUGCAUUGGUAAUUAUCAUUCAAAAGAUUUUUUAAUUGUUUUCAUUUCUUUAGUUUCUCUUUAAUUGAUAUUUCCCUUUAUUAAACUUUAAAAGUGGAGACAAUGUAUAAUGUACUAUGUAGAUAUAUUAUUGUGAGUCAUUAUUCAUUAAAAUACAAAGAUGGUAAGAUAUUUUUUUCUCCAAGGAUGAAGAUAAAGGAAAGAAUAACUAUAAUAUAAGUUCCCUUUAGGGGAGAACUUGAAGAGGUACAAAAUGGUAAGAAAGUAUAGGAGAGAGAGAAAACUCAAAUAAGAGUCAUUUGAAAAGCUCUGUUGAGUAGACACAUUCCAACUUCUCUGUGAUCUCUAAAGUGCAGGGUGAGGGAAUUCCCUAGUGUAACCAAUUUCAGUAGCGAGUAAAGAAGAACCUUGAGAUUGGAGUCAGCUGAGGUUCCCAAGAGGAAAAUUAGUUUACUUGAACCAUGGGGAGCUCAUUGAGAUGGUCCAAUCUGAGACAUCCUGUGUUGUAGAGAGUCAGAACCCACAGGGGUUAAGAUCGUGGUGGAGGUUUUGAGAGGAUACACACCCAGGAAUGAGGGGAUAACUCGACAUUGAGUUUCAGACUUAAGUAUCUAACUGUCAAAUUGACUCCUCUGUUGCGUAUUAAUAGGCAUCCUUGUAGGAAUGACAGCAGAAGGGCAGAAACCACCCACGUGAGGAAGCACGAUAUGUGAUGCCAUCAGUUCAUGGGAUUUGGAGUCAGCCAUACAGACCAAGAUUUGAGCUGCAAUUCUGUCACUUAACUUUGUAACCAAGAAUAAAUUGCUUAACUGCUU
Long non-coding RNA from Homo sapiens (human), 915 nucleotides. The record is from Ensembl. NCBI's taxonomy places the organism in Eukaryota, Metazoa, Chordata, Mammalia, Primates, Hominidae.